UCUGGCGGCAGUAGCGCGGUGGUCCCACCUGACCCCAUGCCGAACUCAGAAGUGAAACGCCGUAGCGCCGAUGGUAGUG
Molecule: ribosomal RNA, 79 nt
Filed under: Escherichia coli
Lineage: Bacteria; Pseudomonadati; Pseudomonadota; Gammaproteobacteria; Enterobacterales; Enterobacteriaceae
Also listed under: 4 other names
Source: RNAcentral